GAUUAAGUUAUUAAGGGCGCACGGUGGAUGCCUUGGCACUAGAAGCCGAUGAAGGACGUUACUAACGACGAUAUGCUUUGGGGAGCUGUAAGUAAGCUUUGAUCCAGAGAUUUCCGAAUGGGGAAACCCAGCAUGAGUUAUGUCAUGUUAUCGAUAUGUGAAUACAUAGCAUAUCAGAAGGCACACCCGGAGAACUGAAACAUCUUAGUACCCGGAGGAAGAGAAAGAAAAUUCGAUUCCCUUAGUAGCGGCGAGCGAAACGGGAAGAGCCCAAACCAACAAGCUUGCUUGUUGGGGUUGUAGGACACUCUAUACGGAGUUACAAAGGACGACAUUAGACGAAUCAUCUGGAAAGAUGAAUCAAAGAAGGUAAUAAUCCUGUAGUCGAAAAUGUUGUCUCUCUUGAGUGGAUCCUGAGUACGACGGAGCACGUGAAAUUCCGUCGGAAUCUGGGAGGACCAUCUCCUAAGGCUAAAUACUCUCUAGUGACCGAUAGUGAACCAGUACCGUGAGGGAAAGGUGAAAAGCACCCCGGAAGGGGAGUGAAAUAGAACCUGAAACCGUGUGCUUACAAGUAGUCAGAGCCCGUUAAUGGGUGAUGGCGUGCCUUUUGUAGAAUGAACCGGCGAGUUACGAUUUGAUGCAAGGUUAAGCAGUAAAUGUGGAGCCGUAGCGAAAGCGAGUCUGAAUAGGGCGUUUAGUAUUUGGUCGUAGACCCGAAACCAGGUGAUCUACCCUUGGUCAGGUUGAAGUUCAGGUAACACUGAAUGGAGGACCGAACCGACUUACGUUGAAAAGUGAGCGGAUGAACUGAGGGUAGCGGAGAAAUUCCAAUCGAACCUGGAGAUAGCUGGUUCUCUCCGAAAUAGCUUUAGGGCUAGCCUCAAGUGAUGAUUAUUGGAGGUAGAGCACUGUUUGGACGAGGGGCCCCUCUCGGGUUACCGAAUUCAGACAAACUCCGAAUGCCAAUUAAUUUAACUUGGGAGUCAGAACAUGGGUGAUAAGGUCCGUGUUCGAAAGGGAAACAGCCCAGACCACCAGCUAAGGUCCCAAAAUAUAUGUUAAGUGGAAAAGGAUGUGGCGUUGCCCAGACAACUAGGAUGUUGGCUUAGAAGCAGCCAUCAUUUAAAGAGUGCGUAAUAGCUCACUAGUCGAGUGACACUGCGCCGAAAAUGUACCGGGGCUAAACAUAUUACCGAAGCUGUGGAUUGUCCUUUGGACAAUGGUAGGAGAGCGUUCUAAGGGCGUUGAAGCAUGAUCGUAAGGACAUGUGGAGCGCUUAGAAGUGAGAAUGCCGGUGUGAGUAGCGAAAGACGGGUGAGAAUCCCGUCCACCGAUUGACUAAGGUUUCCAGAGGAAGGCUCGUCCGCUCUGGGUUAGUCGGGUCCUAAGCUGAGGCCGACAGGCGUAGGCGAUGGAUAACAGGUUGAUAUUCCUGUACCACCUAUAAUCGUUUUAAUCGAUGGGGGACGCAGUAGGAUAGGCGAAGCGUGCGAUUGGAUUGCACGUCUAAGCAGUAAGGCUGAGUAUUAGGCAAAUCCGGUACUCGUUAAGGCUGAGCUGUGAUGGGGAGAAGACAUUGUGUCUUCGAGUCGUUGAUUUCACACUGCCGAGAAAAGCCUCUAGAUAGAAAAUAGGUGCCCGUACCGCAAACCGACACAGGUAGUCAAGAUGAGAAUUCUAAGGUGAGCGAGCGAACUCUCGUUAAGGAACUCGGCAAAAUGACCCCGUAACUUCGGGAGAAGGGGUGCUCUUUAGGGUUAACGCCCAGAAGAGCCGCAGUGAAUAGGCCCAAGCGACUGUUUAUCAAAAACACAGGUCUCUGCUAAACCGUAAGGUGAUGUAUAGGGGCUGACGCCUGCCCGGUGCUGGAAGGUUAAGAGGAGUGGUUAGCUUCUGCGAAGCUACGAAUCGAAGCCCCAGUAAACGGCGGCCGUAACUAUAACGGUCCUAAGGUAGCGAAAUUCCUUGUCGGGUAAGUUCCGACCCGCACGAAAGGCGUAACGAUUUGGGCACUGUCUCAACGAGAGACUCGGUGAAAUCAUAGUACCUGUGAAGAUGCAGGUUACCCGCGACAGGACGGAAAGACCCCGUGGAGCUUUACUGUAGCCUGAUAUUGAAAUUCGGCACAGCUUGUACAGGAUAGGUAGGAGCCUUUGAAACGUGAGCGCUAGCUUACGUGGAGGCGCUGGUGGGAUACUACCCUAGCUGUGUUGGCUUUCUAACCCGCACCACUUAUCGUGGUGGGAGACAGUGUCAGGCGGGCAGUUUGACUGGGGCGGUCGCCUCCUAAAAGGUAACGGAGGCGCUCAAAGGUUCCCUCAGAAUGGUUGGAAAUCAUUCAUAGAGUGUAAAGGCAUAAGGGAGCUUGACUGCGAGACCUACAAGUCGAGCAGGGUCGAAAGACGGACUUAGUGAUCCGGUGGUUCCGCAUGGAAGGGCCAUCGCUCAACGGAUAAAAGCUACCCCGGGGAUAACAGGCUUAUCUCCCCCAAGAGUUCACAUCGACGGGGAGGUUUGGCACCUCGAUGUCGGCUCAUCGCAUCCUGGGGCUGUAGUCGGUCCCAAGGGUUGGGCUGUUCGCCCAUUAAAGCGGUACGCGAGCUGGGUUCAGAACGUCGUGAGACAGUUCGGUCCCUAUCCGUCGUGGGCGUAGGAAAUUUGAGAGGAGCUGUCCUUAGUACGAGAGGACCGGGAUGGACAUACCUCUGGUGUACCAGUUGUCGUGCCAACGGCAUAGCUGGGUAGCUAUGUGUGGACGGGAUAAGUGCUGAAAGCAUCUAAGCAUGAAGCCCCCCUCAAGAUGAGAUUUCCCAACUUCGGUUAUAAGAUC
RNAcentral lists this ribosomal RNA (2833 nucleotides) under Staphylococcus aureus. RNAcentral describes it as "LSU rRNA". It matches the Rfam family "Bacterial large subunit ribosomal RNA". Lineage: Bacteria; Bacillati; Bacillota; Bacilli; Caryophanales; Staphylococcaceae. The record is from RNAcentral.